Panicum virgatum (switchgrass) is the source of this 1096-nucleotide long non-coding RNA. RefSeq lists it as uncharacterized. NCBI's taxonomy places the organism in Eukaryota, Viridiplantae, Streptophyta, Magnoliopsida, Poales, Poaceae. The transcript is spliced from 3 exons. The record is from RefSeq and is a predicted model, not a curated record.
CUUCUAUCUUUUCCCAUCAAUUUCUGUUGUUUUGGUCAAUUUAGCUCAGAGAUCCCGAUAAUUUGUGGAGGUUGUAGCUCAAAUUAGGUCGCAUCUUGGUAAAAUCUCUAGCUUUGUGAUCCUUUUCCCUGUUCCCUUGUUUCUUGCGUGCAAAAUAUCUGACCAGCAGCUUCGCCUUAUACCUAUGGAUGAACUCACCCAUUCUACUUUGAGAUCACGGUGCAGGUUUUCUAUCCGUCCACUUACCUCUCCCACUGGCGUGCACGGCGAGUGCGAUGGCAACGGCCAGUGGCCACUGGUGGCUAAAGCUGACUUGAUGCAUGUGUUAUGGAAGAUGAAACGUGAGGCAGCGGAGAGCUGGGGAUGCUAAUGUUGAUUUGCUCUGCACCAUUCCUCCAACGUGGAGAUCAGCAACGAGGGCAGGAACAAGCUUUGUGUACUCAAAAGGGACUUCACUUUCCUGAAUUUCUGAAUGCUUCACUCAAUUUGAUUCAGAUUAUGUGUGGCACUGACCGUAAUGCCCCUCUUUUGGAUUCAGUGUGAGGACACAAGCAGCUGGUGGUUAAGCUGGUUUGUACCAGCUGAGAGUCUGAGCUCCCAUGGUGUCUCACUCCGUGAAGAUCAUGGAGCUCAUUGCCAGAGCCAUUGUCGAGCCGUAGUUCAUCAGCUAGGGGCAGAGGAGGUCAUCACAAUAAUCUUUUGUGGCGCCUCCUCUAUUGUUUUACUUACUGUAAUUUCAGCUAUGUAAUUGGAUGUACUGGUGCUGCUGCAUCUUAAGAUGGAAGUACUCAUGCCUGAUGGAAGAUAAGAGCAAGCAUGCUGUCAAGCCAAGAACAGCACAUCCUCAUCUACAUCCAUUUGAAUUUGAACGUCUGUAGUGUGAUCCUUCCUAAGAAUCCUAACCCUUCUUAUGGUCUGAUUGGAUUAAAAAAAAUCAUAUGUUCAUGCCUGAUGCAAGUGAAGGUCAGCAUAGGCAUGUUGUUUGGUCACUAGUAUGCCAAUCAAUCACUAGCUAGAUUCUUGAUUCAAGAUAUGUAAAUUCUUUUAUGUGUACUGUGCCUUAUGUUUUCUGGAUGCUAAUCCUUUUUUUUAUUCA